RNAcentral lists this ribosomal RNA (253 nucleotides) under uncultured bacterium. RNAcentral's name for it is "partial 16S ribosomal RNA". It matches the Rfam family "Bacterial small subunit ribosomal RNA", at positions 524 to 776 of the family's 1533-position model. The record is from RNAcentral.
UACAGAGGUCUCAAGCGUUGUUCGGAUUCAUUGGGCGUAAAGGGUGCGUAGGCGGCGCGGUAAGUCGGGUGUGAAAUCUCGGGGCUUAACUCCGAAACUGCAUUCGAUACUGCCGUGCUUGAGGACUGGAGAGGAGACUGGAAUUUACGGUGUAGCGGUGAAAUGCGUAGAUAUCGUAAGGAAGACCAGUGGCGAAGGCGGGUCUCUGGACAGUUCCUGACGCUGAGGCACGAAGGUCAGGGGAGCAAGCGGG